Molecule: RNA transcript, 3493 nt
Organism: Grus americana (Whooping crane)
Lineage: Eukaryota; Metazoa; Chordata; Aves; Gruiformes; Gruidae
Gene: GINS3
Gene name: GINS complex subunit 3
Exons: 4
Source: RefSeq, a predicted model, not a curated record
UGGCGGUGGCCAACCGCCGGCGUGGCGAACGGAGGCGAGGCCGGCAUGGGCAGGACAAGGCUGCGCCUAGCCCGGGGCUCGGCAGCUCGCAGCCGCCGCCUGAGGCCCGGCCUCCCCUCAGGUCGGCGGCACGCCUGACCGGGCCCUGGGGCCUCCGGGCGGCAGGGCCAGCGCGGCCGCGGCCCCCCCAGCGAUACCCUGGGGGCGGAGAACACCCGCCGCGGUGCCGGUGCAGCUGCGACGGAAAACCCCGCCGCCGGACCCCGCCUGGGGCCCCGGGGCCGCCCCGGUCCCACCGCCGGGCGCGGGGCGGGGCUGCGCCACCGACGGGCGGGCGGUGCCAGGGCGCAUGCGCGACUCUGCGCUGUGCGGCGGCGGCGGGAGGGGCUUGACUGGCUGUGGGGAGCCGCCGCGGGAGCCCCGAGGUAACCCCGAGGCGCCGGUGCUGCUCCGGUGCCCGCUGGCCCGGCCAUGUCCGAGGCGUAUUUCCCUGUGGGCCCCGGGCUGGGCCUGGAGGAGAACUUCCUGUCGCUGGACGACAUCCUGAUGUCGCAGGAGAAGCUGCCGGGCCGCGCCGAGAGCACCCUGCCGCGCCUGGCCUUCGCGCUGGGCCAGGGGGCCGGCACCGGCGACUCCAUCCCUGAGGGAUCGAAGCUGGAAAUACCUCUGUGGCUUGCUAAAGGUCUACACGACAGCAAAAGAAGAAUCAUUUCUGUGGAACUGCCAAAGAUUUACAAGGAAGCCUGGAGGACGGUGUUCAGCGCUGAUGCCAAUGUGGUUGAUCUGCAUAAAAUGGGGCCGUACUACUACGGAUUUGGCUCCCAGCUCCUGAAUUUUGACAAUCCAGAGAAUCCUGAGAUAGCUCAGACUAUCCUGCAGACAUUUAUUAGCCGUUUUCGUCGUAUCAUGGACUCCUCUCAGAAUGCCUACAACGAAGACACGUCAGCUCUGGUGGCUCGGCUGGAUGAAUUGGAGCGAGCCUUAUUUCAAGCUGGCCAGAAGGGGCUGAAUGACUUCCAGUGCUGGGAAAAGGGACAGGCUUCUCAAAUCACAGCUUCCAGUCUGGUCCAGAAUUAUGGAAAAAGAAAGUUCACGGAUAUGGAUGGUUAAAAGCCUGAAGAACAUGCAGCUACUGUGGCGGACACCGAGAGAUUUACAGCCUGCCUGUCGCAGAAGAGAAAGAUUAAUCAGCUUUGGGGAAGGACAGGCUCCCUGUCCAUUAAUGGAAGUUCUUCUCUAUAACAUCUUUGGAUUAGAUUAGUGCAAAUUUUAAAGGCAGAUGGCAAGAGUAUAAAAAAUAUAUCGCAUCACAUCACUGGACAGCUUUACAGCUUACUCAUACCACUCCUGAGGAUUUGCAGUUAAAGUGUUUCUAGGUGGCUAAAGGGUAUGAGAUGAUUUUCUAAAUGGGUAAUGAAUAUUUAUUAUUCUUUAUCUUCCAAAUUUAUAUUUACAAUACUGGAUCUGUUUGGAAAAAAGUGUAAUUCUUUGUAUUUCAUCUUGCCCUUCCCAUUCUAACCUCCUGGGAACAGCUGUUUCCAGGUUCCCCAUUCUUUGGACAGCCCCAACGAUGUGGAAAAAAACAUGGUACAAAUUGCAUUGAAUUUUUCCCACUUCUUAUACAUUGAGGUGGAACAGGUACUCUUUGUGAGGCAGGAAUGUUUUUCUUUGCUGACUUUUGUACACAGUGUUAGCACCCCGGUGAAAAAUACCUCCUCUUAACUCAUGUAGCAAGCGAAGUGGCUGGGCAAGUCUCACAUGCUGCCUCAUCCUCUCUCUCCCUUUCGGCCCGUGUGGGGUUGAUGCUGCACGGGGUGGAAAGUGUUCUCGUUUGAUGUGAGACACAAUGGAUGUGUCUCUAUGAUGGCUGUUAAGCUCCUCCAUGUAUUUUACAGAGGAGGCAACAGAAGGCAACAAAGAGUCUGGACUGGAUCAGAAGCAGCAACUUCGAUGGAACCUCUCCCCCAUUAUCAACCUCUGAGCCAUCUGUUUUCCCAGGAGAACUUCUGAUUACUAAAUUUGGUUAAUAGAAGGGACAGAGCAAAUGAACUGAGUUUUCUUCCUUCUGAUCUGUCUAAAUGAUCCUAACUAAAUGAUCCUAGUAAAUGUCAUUCUUGCCAGUACGAGUGAGUGGAGUUGGAACUUGUCAAACAGCACAGUGGUUUCAUCCCGUGUGGAUGCCCUUAAACCUAGAUUAUCUGAAGUCCCGUUGGAUUGGAGACAGAAGACAGAUGGUUGUCUCUGUAGGAUGUAGUUCCCAUGGUCAUCAGGAUGAUCAUCCUUUGGAAGCAGGUAUUGGACAUCUCAUGGGUGCUUCUGAGCAUCUAUAAGUGAACCUUGUGGAGUACCUAGGCAGAGGAGCCAGAUUGUAAUGAUACUGAGCGCUUCCUCUGCUGUGGGAAUCACUGGGAGGUGACAGCAAGGUCCAAAUCUUGGAGGACUUGUUACUGGACUUGCAGAUGCACCUGGAUAUUGGAUUCUUCAAACUGGAAACCUCAAGUACAAAGGGUGCAUGGCCACUCCUUGGCCAGAGGAGUGAAAGCUCUGCCUCUGGAGGUGGUGAGAGGGGACAGUGUGCUGGCUUCACAAGCACCUUGGCAUCUUUGCCUCAGCUGCCCAGGGCCAGCUGUCUUGCCACAGGAGACUAAUUGGAAGCUGUGCCUGACAAAGUAUUUCAAGUAACGUGGUCAGGAGCUACCUUUGUGCAGUCAGGCGAGUGUAGAAGUAUUUCCUGUCUGACUUAUCCCAUGUGGGUAAUAGCUGUUUGCUCAAGUUGUCGAAGAGACACUGCCAACGAAUUGAUAAGCUAUUGAUUUUAUAAAUUGCAUUUUUUUUGAAACAUGAGAUGGAUGGAGGUGAUUCCAUGUUAUCUCGACUGUUGUCGAGUGGUGGGUAGUGGGUGGAAAUUGGCUGUGUCUGUAUUCAUACCCUGCUGCUCCAAGCGCUGUAGCAUAGACUUCAUGGAGCAUGUCAAAGCUGCGUCCAGUGCUUCAGCUGCAAGGGAAGCAAGUCUAAGUCCAUCUGUGAUGAGAAGUGUUUUUGAAUUGGAAGGAUUAUUUUAAUGAGAUGGCGGUUUUGAGAUCCAGUUGGUUUAUAACCAAAAUCGUUAUUUCAGAGUGGGGAGAAAAAAAUCCCUGAAGUAGUCCUCAAUGUCACUGGCUUUUUGUAAGUAAGCAAUGUCACUUUUAGUAACCCUGAAUGUUUAGGAAUAAACACCAAUAAGACCCUUAAAAAAUUUGAUCCUGUAAUUUUAAAUUGCAGUAUUUCAUUAGUAGAUUGGAUAUUCUGUUGAUUUUUUUUUGCCUUCCCCCCCCUCCCCGCUGGCUGGAAUACUUCUUUUCUGUCCAGAAAUACAACAACAGAGUGCUGUGUACUUUUUAUGAACACAAACUGUUCUUUAUGAUUGCACUGUGGCAAGCUAUCAGUUGGAGGAGUUUGAACUUGUAUAUUUUCAGAAUGGCACAAUAAAUCCCCAUUACAGAACUAUACAAAA